GCGACGCGGGGCUCAGUCUCGCGACCCCGGGAUUCACGACCUGAGCCGAAAUCAAGAGUCGGACGCUCAACAGACUGAACCUCCCAGCCGCCCCUGUUUGGGUUUUUUGUUUUGUUUUGUUUUAAGGUAGGGGUUAUUUUGUGGUGAGGGCAAAUGGGAAAGUGUUGUGAGCCUCACAUCAUGCAAGUCAGUGAGGACCUGGGUAUUGAAACUACCUUGAAAACUCUCUCUCUUUAUUAGGGCGGGAAGCCUUUCCCGCAAGCCGACGGUACGCAGGCCCCUGAGUCCCACCUGCCAGGAUGGGGCAUAAGCCAGACCAGAGUCUGAGUUUGUGCUCAUAUUGACCUACAUUCUCAUCACAACUCAAAGAUGAUGGUAUUAAUAUUCACAGUGAAAGCAGUAGUAAUAACAACGACAGUUAACGUUUACCGAGUGCUCACCCUGUGCCGGGACCUGUUCUCAACCCUUUAGAUGCAUCAUCUCAUUUAAUGCUUCGACAGCCUAUGAGGUAGGUAGGUAGCCACGCCCAUCUUACAGAUAGAGAAACUGAGGCCCAGAGAGAUUGAUAAUUUGCCCGAGGUCACACAGCUAAUAAGCGGCAGAAGUUGGUGAGGACGCAGGCAUUCCAGCCACAGAGCCUUUGCGAGGAGCCCCCAGACCUGGAGUGAACCGUGUCUGCAUCUGGGAGGCUGGGCUACUCUGAGGGAGGUUUUCUUGUUUCUGCUCCCAUCUGCCGCAUCUUGAAUGCAUCUUUUAUUUAUUCAUUUGUUUUCAUGUUUAUUUAUUUAUUUUUGAGAAAGAGAAAGAGAGGACAGGGGAGGGGCAGAGAGAGAAGGAAAGGCGGAAUCCCAAGCAGGUUCCGCACCGUCAGCGCAGAGCCCGACGCGGGGCUCGAACCCACGAACCGUGAGAUCACGACCUGAGCCGAACUUAAGAGUCGGAUGCCCAAGCGACUGGGCAACCCAGGCGCCCCUUGAAUGAAUCUGUUAAACGAGAUGCCACAUCCACCCCUUAUCCGACGCAGCAGCAACGGAAGCCGUUGGUCACCGGAAGGCUCGUGGUUGUGGGGCCAUCACCUGCGAGGUUGUCCACCCAGAUGUGGUGACUGCUCUCCUCGGCCUGCCGCCCUGCUGCUCUCUUUCCAGAAUCCACCUUGUCUGGACCACAUGCUAAUGAGCUAACUGAGAAGGUCUGACUUACUGGCAGCGUUUCUUGAUGAAACCCACUUGCUCCAUAGAAGAGCUGGCACGGGCAGAGAGACCUGAGUGACAGGACCGUGUGUGGAUGCCAAGCGGCGUUGGGACCAUUUAGUUCAAGGGGUUGUCCGGGUGCCAGCACCACCUCCACACGCGCAACUAGUGACCGCGCCAAAGCGUGUGGGUAUGGUUUUCGAGGUCGUCGGGAGACGCGGCGUGGGAGGCAGGGACGAGGGGCCGACCCCCCUCGGGCCACAGGGGACGGCCGCACCCCACGUGGACGAAGCGCCAGCAGGCUCAGCACCGGCCCGCGAGCGAGGGGAGCCUGGCGAUGCCCUUACGAGGGGACCACGGUCAGACCUCCAAGACCCACUUGUGCUGCUUCCAUUCGGCAGCGAAUCAAGAGUUGCCCAAAACAGCAGGAACGAAGAUUUUAAGAACCCCCCCCCCCCCGCCAGCUCCCUGAAGGAAGUUGUCACAUCUGUGUGUGACGCCUGGAGCUGCAGCAGCAUCUUGUGACCGUGAGGGGACAGCCCCAUCUGCGGUCAAUGGGGGAGAGCAAAAAGAGCCCAGACCCUUGGAGAGUUCCCAGGGACGCUGGUCCCAGGUGGGACCGCCUACCAGCGGCCGUCACAUUUUGCGAGAAAAAGCCACUCUCUCCUUGUUCGAUCCACUUCUACUUAUGUAUUCUUUUAGUGUUUAUUUUUGAGAGAGAGAGAGCAAGAGAGAGAGCGCGUGAUUGGGGAAGAGGCAGAGAGAGAGGGAGACAGAGCAUCCCAAGCAGGCUUCUCACUGUCAUCACAGGGCCCGACACGGGGCUCAGUCUCACGAACAGUGAGAUCGUGGGCUGAGCCGAAAUCAAGAGUCAGAUGCUCAACCGACUGAGCCACCCAGGCCCCCUGUGGAUCCACCUUUAAUCAACUGCCCCGGGCCCUCUUGUCAGACGUACUCUCGCCUACGGAACGGUCCCCAUGUCGCAGACCCACUGCGAGAAUUAAGUGAGGCGAGGAGGCUUGUGAAACUCCGAGCCAGUCCCCCGUCCUGUGGUGUCGGAUACGUGUCAGCCCCACGUGGCUGGAACACGAAGCCCUUCCACAUCGCCACCUCGAUGACACGAGGGAAGCUGAGGCACAGAGAGGGUGAGGAACUUGCCCCAGGCCCCCAGCAAGAACGCACUGGAGCUGGGGCUCGAACCAGGCCUGCGUCCCGAGCUGCAGCGCGAGACCGCCCUGUCUGGCCCCGUCCCCGGUGGAGGCACUCCUGUAGGACCCGCGAGCCCUGCACAGGGACCUCGCCCUCGGCUCCUGGACGUCCCCAGCUCAGAGCUUCCACUCGUGUCUCGCCUCCUCCCUGUGUCUGCUUGGUCCCGAGGCGCUCCCCGGGGAGGCGAGCAGAGCCAAAAAACCCUGGCUCGCCUGCCUUGCUAAUAGAACUAGAAUGUUCUUGUCGAGAUGGGUUUCUUUUGGGGAUGGCCAAGCAAGCCACGUACUCAGCUGCUGGAGGCAGAGGACAAACACGAUGUGUCAUCGGGGACUCGGCCGCGGCAGCUGACACUUGUCCCUCGCUCUUCGGGGCCGGCUGUGCGAGGAGGAGACUGUUCUUACGCCAAAUCCAGCAUCGCCGAGGGAGUUUUCAUAAUUGCUGAUCACUCUGGGCUUCCCUCCCACGUUCCUGUCACUUCCCUUCUUCUCCCGAGGGGACUCGCAGGGUCAGCUUGCGGACCUCAGUUGCUGGGACGUCGCAGCCCCUCACCCUGUGGGGAGGGGGCCCUGGCGGUCUUCUCUGAUCCCUUGACAUCUCCUGCUUCAGGGAAUCCCACGGACUGGGCGGAAUCAGUCUCAGAAACCGUUUCUGUUUGCUCUUGAACAUGAUCCCCGGCUCUCUGUGGGUUUCCUUGGCCGGCGUCAACCUGGACGGCCGGUUCGCUCUGGAGCGCUAGACCCCAACACUAGUAACAUCGCCUCCGAGCUCCCCCGGGGCUGCAGCGAAGGGAGAGAAGCCGCCGGGAGGCGGCCGCUGGGUCCCAUCAGCCACAGCGCCGAGGCCCGCGGGUGCGGGUGCGGGUGACAGCAUCCUGCAGGACGCGGCUCGUGUGCCUUAUGACUCAGUGCGGGAGAUAAUUGCACACAGAUCUGUUUUCUUUUUCUUCCUAUCUGGUUAUCUGCAGCUCCAAGAUACCCACCCUUCCCUGCAUGAUUUGCCAUCAGGCAAAUGUCUGUUUUGUUGUGUGCUUGUAAAACCCUGUCUUGAUUUUCUCACCGUGUCCAGCCGCUGUGGCUUGUGGCGGGGAGGGGCACGUCUGCAUUUUGGCCCCCUUGGACAUCCCAUCUUGGGGGUCUAGCUUCUUCUGUGCUAGUCACAGACGGAUGACAUCGUAUUUUGGGUUGUGCCGACCUUUUGGCGACUCAAGAGUAGGCGGAAUACAGGAUUCCAGGUGGGCUGCUGGGGGCUGGGGGUCCCCGUCCUCACGUGGUGCCUUAGGCUGUGAAAGCCAGAGAGAGGAGGUGUGGUCUAAGGAUUCUGCCUCCUGGGUCAACCGCAUCAACCGUGUCUCUCUCUCUCUCUCGCCAUCUCAAGCCCCCUCGUAUAACUUUGCCUGCUACGAGAUGGCAUUGAAUUUGACCCGAGUGUGACCAAGUCACAAAUACAUUCCCUUUGGAAAUGUCCUCACUGUGCCUCUCCUUCUAGAGAGUCCACAUUUUCAAGCAAACUAGAAGUCAUUCCCUUUCAGCUCCUGUCUUUCUCCCGUCCUUUGGGCUGUUGGUUCGUUUUUUUCUUCCUACCGCCAGUUGGCAUUAGAUCCCAUCUGAUCGUGCCUCUGACUUUCGGUUUGCUGCGGUUUCCUCCCACCGCGAUGGCAGCAUCGGGACAGAUGCAGACCUGAUGGGUGCUCCGCCCUCUGUGUCGAGAACUGUACCCUGGGCCGUGCAGGAACUCAACUGGUACUUGGGGAUCAAUUGCAUGGAGCCACUCACUAAAUACGAAUCAGUGACAGUCCCAUGGUGCAUGUGGGGCACCGAGGUCAACUGUGACGAGUUGGGGAUGGCUGGGUGAGGCGCUGUGCUGUAUACAUGUUGCACGCCCGUGACCGUGUUGAACGGGGGGGAGCGGGCAGCGGGGCAGUCAGCGAGCGGGGCUCUGCGGUCCCUCCGUCUGGGUUCAAUUCUGGCCCCAGUUCUUGGUACAUCCCUGCCCUUGGGCAGGUUGCUCAGGCCCCUCUGGGUCAAUUUCCUCAUCUGUAAAUCCCCUCCGUCUGGGGAUGAUGUUAGUACCUAUCGACUCACCGGGACGUUGUCCAGAUUAAAUAAGGUAAUGCGUGCAGCGCACUUAAAAGGCGCUCCGUGCAGGGUGUGGGCUCAGCAAAGACAGCCGUUACUAAUCCUUACAGCAGCCCUACUAAGCGGGCACCACUACGGUCCCGCUUAGCAGACUGGGAAACUAAGCAAGCUCAUAAGCAGACAGAGCGAAACAACACCCACCCUGUGCUCAGCGAGUCUGCAUUUAAUACGGGACAAACGCACAAAAAACUCGGCUCUGCAUUGCAUUGUGCUUAAAAAAAAAGAAAAGAAAAGAAAAAGCCAGAUGCAGGCAAGGUGCUUCAGAUCCCAUUCCUUAUGGAAGGACAGGUUCCAAAGCCCACGCUCGGGUCACAGCGCUAUAUUCCAUGGCUUCUGGGACGCCUUGGCAUGACUUCCGUGUCAUUCGAAGAAAAUCCCCGGUUACGCAAGCACAUGGGCCGGGGUGCGGCCUCAGGAACAAGCAGCGUUAAGCAUGUGACACAAACGGGCAGCUUGAGGACGGCUCUGCGAGUGGAGGAGGCUCGUCACAACCCAGCGGCAUCUGCAGGGACGGUUUAGGCUAAGCGUGCUGUUGCAGUUGGUUCACGGGUUGGCUUGGUGAUGGGGCUGCCUCGUGGUCUCCAGCCGACGUCUGUUUGCUGAUGGUGUCCCGUUUCUGCUUUAAGGGCGCUGAACCUGGGCGCCGAGAAGACACCUAGCGGAGUCCCCAUGUGCUGCUUAUGCCUCGAGCUCAGCCGAAAUGCUCCUUGCGAGACCAAAGAGCAGCUCCACGCCCUGAGUAGCAAGCUGAGACCUGUCUCACAGUGAGGGCCUGUGAGGGGUAGUCAUUACCGGCCUGGCCUUUGAAUCUUGCCGAUGGUGGCAUUUAUAUUCUUAAAACGUGGCUGAGCAGACAGCCAUUUCCCUGGGGAGUUAAGUCAUCAGCUAACAGUGUCUGCAAAUGGCCCCACGGAGACUGCCAGGGAGCAGGUUGAAGGCCACCGAUGGCUCCGGGCGUCACUGGGCCACACACGGGAACGGGAAGAAAAGGUCAGCCAUAGUAGUCACGUGCCACGCGUGGUGCACGACUUGUGUAUAAGACGACUCAUGAACAGGAAGUAUUAUCCCCAUUUUACAGAAAAGCAAACUGAGUCUCAGAGAGGUGAAGUACUCUGCCUAGGUCACACAGCUGGGACGCUGGAUGUCUGAAGUCUGGGAUAUCUGAUUCCAGAUUCCAUACGCUCACCCUCAGUUGACUCACGAUUCUCCUUUUUCGGUAAACAGGGAAGGAGACAGCCUCAGGAGAAGAUGGAGGAGACUGUGAGGGAACAGGAGAAUCGGAGGAAGAAAGGGGCGCCGGUGUUGGGGAGUGAGGUCGGGUGGCCUUGAUGAUUUGCACAGGCCUCCCAGAGGAGCCCCAGCCUGUCCGGCAGGAGCGGCAGCUUGCAGCCAGCCACAGAGCUCUAGGAAGAAAUCGAGGGGGUGUGGCCACAGAAGCCACUUCAAAAGCAGAACGCCUCUGGUGUCAGCAGGACACUUAGGUCGCAAGUGACAGAAAAGCUAAUCAAGCCAGCUUAACAGAAAAACAGAAAAAUAAACAUGGGCUCCCUCAACUUAAAAGUGCAGAGUAGAUGACUUCAGGAGCGGCUGCAUCCAGGUGCUCCAACAAAGCUUCUCUCUGUGUCGCCUGCUUUUGCAGGCAGGCGUUCUCCAAGGAGGAUGGAAGUCAGCAGCCCCAGGCUUGUGUCCAAUGCUUUUGCAGGGGGGAGGAAGUGGCUCCCUCACAGGAGUUCCAGCAGAAAGUCUGGGACGGAGCGGCACUGAGUAGGACUAACGUUGCCUGGGUCACGUUCCCAUUCCUGAACCAAGCACUUUGGCCACAAGGGGAUGAGAUGCUCUGAUCGGCUCAUCCGUACGCAGAACCAGAGCCAGCCCCGCCAGAGCUGCCUGGACCCAGGAGGGCGCGUCUCCGAGAGAAAUUUCCAGAGAAAAGUGUUAAGCAUACUGAGGAGCGAAGACGGAAACCUCAGAUGUCCUCUACCAAGCUUUCUUUUUAUUUUUAUUUUUAUUUUCAAUUAUUUUUUAAUUUU
Felis catus (domestic cat) is the source of this 6564-nucleotide long non-coding RNA. RefSeq lists it as uncharacterized. The transcript has 2 exons. The record is from RefSeq and is a predicted model, not a curated record. NCBI's taxonomy places the organism in Eukaryota, Metazoa, Chordata, Mammalia, Carnivora, Felidae.